This 454-nucleotide long non-coding RNA is filed under the name Rattus norvegicus (Norway rat). RNAcentral describes it as "long non-coding RNA NONRATT003938". The record is from RNAcentral. Lineage: Eukaryota; Metazoa; Chordata; Mammalia; Rodentia; Muridae.
CAUCUAAAUGAGAAGCAGGCUUUGCUUCUUUCUCAUCUUUGCCUUGAGGGUCCUUUUUCUUGGGCAGGGUGGAAGAGAGGACAAGGGAGGGGAGGGGGAUACGUUAGAUGUUUGCCGGGCAUCUUAGCACGGCUUGUGGGAGCAGCGAGGGGGUUUUCCUGUGAACUCAGGGAAGGGGGGGGGCUCUGUGUGUGGCUUCUGCAGGUGGAAACAGAGGCAGUGGAGCUUGGAGAUCAUCGGAGCAGGGGAGUGAACCCUGAUGCCUCGGAGAUCCUACAUAUCAACAGGAAGAAGACUCUGCUGAUGUGAGCCUCCUUGAGAAGGAAGCCGCCUUGAGGGCUGCUUGCCAGGGGCAGGCCUCUGCAGCUUCAGUCUGGACGAGUGGUUAAAAAAAAUGGCACACCCUCUCCAUUCCCACAUCUGCCUUUAUUAAAACAACAACUCUGAAAGCAAA